GCUGGGUGUGGUAGCGCAUGCCUGUAAUCCCAGCUACUCGGGAGGCUGAGGCAGGAGAAUCGCUUGAGCCCAGGAGGCAGAGGUUGCAGUGAGCCGAGAUUGCUCCACUGCACUCCAGCCUGGGUGACAGAGCGAGACUCAGUCUCAA
Molecule: unclassified non-coding RNA, 148 nt
Organism: Macaca fascicularis (crab-eating macaque)
Lineage: Eukaryota; Metazoa; Chordata; Mammalia; Primates; Cercopithecidae
Rfam family: Metazoan signal recognition particle RNA
About the family: The signal recognition particle (SRP) is a universally conserved ribonucleoprotein.
Source: Ensembl